RNAcentral lists this ribosomal RNA (230 nucleotides) under Ancylobacter sp. ISOM336_OTU3086. Its description in RNAcentral is "partial 16S ribosomal RNA". It matches the Rfam family "Bacterial small subunit ribosomal RNA", at positions 29 to 289 of the family's 1533-position model. Lineage: Bacteria; Pseudomonadati; Pseudomonadota; Alphaproteobacteria; Hyphomicrobiales; Xanthobacteraceae. The record is from RNAcentral.
GCGAACGCUGGCGGCAGGCUUAACACAUGCAAGUCGAGCGCCCCGCAAGGGGAGCGGCAGACGGGUGAGUAACACGUGGGGAUCUGCCCAAUGGUACGGAAUAACUCAGGGAAACUUGUGCUAAUACCGUAUGUGCCCGCAAGGGGAAAGAUUUAUCGCCAUUGGAUGAACCCGCGUCGGAUUAGCUAGUUGGUGUGGUAAAGGCGCACCAAGGCGACGAUCCGUAGCUG